RNAcentral lists this long non-coding RNA (505 nucleotides) under Homo sapiens (human). Its description in RNAcentral is "HSALNT0311723". The record is from RNAcentral. Lineage: Eukaryota; Metazoa; Chordata; Mammalia; Primates; Hominidae.
UUCGAUCUCAGCCUCCAGCUGAGCCUGCUGGUAUUCAAACUGUAUAGGCAGAGCAGGAGGGUCAAAAGGGCACAGAAGAAGAAGAAAACCACAGGAGUCCCAUGAAGGUGCAGAGGUCUACACAGGAGUUCAGGAUAGACACCUUGCUGGCAGGACAUGGCCACAGACUCCUCUAACUUAUUCCCCAAAGUGCAAGAGCAGGUCUUCUUCAGUCCAUCCUUCUAACCUGUCCAGAGCAGCUGUAUGCUUACUGCCAGAUCGCUCUACCCUUCUGGGGCAACAGGACUCGAGCCCUGAGGACUCUGCAAAGCUAGGCCCCUGAUGGUCUACUAUGCUUAGAGACCAUUAUGCAUGGGGCUCUUUGGGCUUCUAAAGGGCUCCCUGGGAGAAACUGCCUUCCAAAUCUGACUACUAAGAUGAUACUAUGGGAACAGAUUGUGAGGACAGAAAGAAAAAAAUAAAUAAAAAUUAAAAACGUAGAAAAAAGAAAAAAAAAAAAAGAUGG